CCUACGGGAGGCUGCAGUGGGGAAUAUUGGACAAUGGGGGCAACCCUGAUCCAGCCAUGCCGCGUGUGUGAAGAAGGCCCUCGGGUUGUAAAGCACUUUCAGUGAGGAAGAACGCCUGGUGGUUAAUACCCAUCAGGAAAGACAUCACUCACAGAAGAAGCACCGGCUAACUCCGUGCCAGCAGCCGCGGUAAUACGGAGGGUGCGAGCGUUAAUCGGAAUUACUGGGCGUAAAGCGCGCGUAGGUGGCUUGAUAAGCCGGUUGUGAAAGCCCCGGGCUCAACCUGGGAACGGCAUCCGGAACUGUCAAGCUAGAGUGCAGGAGAGGAAGGUAGAAUUCCCGGUGUAGCGGUGAAAUGCGUAGAGAUCGGGAGGAAUACCAGUGGCGAAGGCGGCCUUCUGGACUGACACUGGCACUGAGGUGCGAAAGCGUGGGUAGCAAACAGGAUUAGAUACCCGGGUAGUC
This 465-nucleotide ribosomal RNA is filed under the name Vreelandella stevensii. RNAcentral describes it as "partial 16S ribosomal RNA". It matches the Rfam family "Bacterial small subunit ribosomal RNA", at positions 338 to 795 of the family's 1533-position model. Lineage: Bacteria; Pseudomonadati; Pseudomonadota; Gammaproteobacteria; Oceanospirillales; Halomonadaceae. The record is from RNAcentral.